GACGAACGCUGGCGGCGCGCCUAACACAUGCAAGUCGAACGGAGCUGAGAGAAGCUUGCUUUUCUUAGCUUAGUGGCGCACGGGUGAGUAACGCGUGAGUAACCUGCCCUGGAGUGGGGGACAACAGUUGGAAACGACUGCUAAUACCGCAUAAGCUCACGAUCCGGCAUCGGAUUGAGGGAAAAGGAUUUAUUCGCUUCAGGAUGGACUCUCGUCCAAUUGGCUAGUUGGUGAGGUAACGGCCCACCAAGGCGACGAUUGGUAGCCGGACUGGGAGGUUGAACGGCCACAUUGGGACUGAGACACGGCCCAGACUCCUACGGGAGGCAGCAGUAGGGGAUAUUGCACAAUGGGGGAAACCCUGAUGCAGCGGCGCCGCGUGGAGGAAGAAGGUUUUCGGAUUGUAAACUCCUGUCGUGAGGGACGUUAAUGACGGUAACUAACAAGAAAGCACCGGCUAACUACGUG
RNAcentral lists this ribosomal RNA (468 nucleotides) under uncultured bacterium. RNAcentral's name for it is "partial 16S ribosomal RNA". It matches the Rfam family "Bacterial small subunit ribosomal RNA", at positions 28 to 507 of the family's 1533-position model. The record is from RNAcentral.